This is a non-coding RNA of Erinaceus europaeus (western European hedgehog), 214 nucleotides long. The record is from Rfam. Lineage: Eukaryota; Metazoa; Chordata; Mammalia; Eulipotyphla; Erinaceidae.
GAUGGGAAAGGCCACGAAGCCAAAAGCCAGAGGUGCGUUUCGGGAGCGCGUGGGAAUGGUCGGGAGGCUGCGGAGAUGGCGCUACCUGGGACCGCGGGGAGCGCAGGGCGGGAGGCGGUCGGUCGCCGAGCCCUGCACCUGGCUAAAGGCGAGCUCGCAGCUUUCCAGCCGGGGUGGUUGCCGUUAUUAUUUUUGCAAGGAAAGGAAGUGUUUC